CGUGCCAGCAGCCGCGGUAAUACAGAGGGUGCAAGCGUUAAUCGGAGUUAUUGGGCGUAAAGCGUGCGUAGGCGGACACUUUAGUCGGGCGUGAAAUCCCUGGGCUUAACCUGGGAAUUGCGUUCGAUACUGAGUGUCUAGAGUAUGGUAGAGGAAAGUGGAAUUUCCGGUGUAGCGGUGAAAUGCGUAGAUAUCGGAAAGAACAUCAGUGGCGAAGGCGGCUUUCUGGACCAAUACUGACGCUGAGGUACGAAAGCGUGGGGAGCAAACAGGAUUAGAGACCCUGGUAGUCCACGCCGUAAACUAUGAGAACUAGGCGUUUCUGGCCACUAAAUGGUUUUUAGAUCUUUAUUAAGAUAAAAGAAUUAUUUAGUGGCCAGAAGUGCCGAAGCUAACGCGUUAAGUUCUCCGCCUGGGGAGUACGAUCGCAAGAUUAAAACUCAAAGGAAUUGACGGGGGCCCGCACAAGCGGUGGAGCAUGUGGUUUAAUUCGAUGCUACCCGAAGAACCUUACCUACCCUUGAAAUCCUCGGAAUCCUGCAGAGAUGCGGGAGUGCCUUCGGGAACCGAGUGACAGGUGCUGCAUGGCUGUCGUCAGCUCGUGUCGUGAGAUGUUGGGUUAAGUCCCGUAACGAGCGCAACCCUUGUCCUUAGUUGCCAUUUUCAUUUAUUUGAAAGGAACUCUAAGGAGACUGCCGGUGAUAAACCGGAGGAAGGUGGGGAUGACGUCAAGUCAGCAUGGCCCUUACGGGUAGGGCUACACACGUGCUACAAUGGGGAGUACAGCAGGUUGCCAAGUCGCGAGACGGAGCCAAUCCUAUAAAACUCCUCGUAGUCCAGAUUGGAGUCUGCAACUCGACUCCAUGAAGUUGGAAUCGCUAGUAAUCGCGUAUCAGCAUGUCGCGGUGAAUACGUUCUCGGGCCUUGUACACACCGCCCGUCA
RNAcentral lists this ribosomal RNA (943 nucleotides) under uncultured bacterium. RNAcentral's name for it is "bacterial SSU rRNA". It matches the Rfam family "Bacterial small subunit ribosomal RNA", at positions 504 to 1399 of the family's 1533-position model. The record is from RNAcentral.